This 503-nucleotide ribosomal RNA is filed under the name Leprodes cf. gibbifer Ma028. RNAcentral's name for it is "partial large subunit ribosomal RNA". Lineage: Eukaryota; Metazoa; Arthropoda; Insecta; Phasmatodea; Bacillidae. The record is from RNAcentral.
GACACCCUGAAAUUCGAAAGGGGUGCGAUUCAGUUGCGUCCGAUGCCACGGCGCCUUCCACGUGACCGGCCCGCCCCUCCGCACCGGCUGGUAAACAGCAGGUCGCGCGUCGGGCGUGGGCCGGGUGGACCGGCGAAAGCGUGGCGUCGGCGACAAUGCACUUCCCCCCUAGUAGAAAUGCCGCGACCCGUCGGGCGCCAGGUCUCAGGGCCCGAGCAGGCAGCACGCUGCGUCCCGGCGCCGCAAGGCGUCGGGCGCGCGGACUCUCGGCCGACCCGGUCGGCCGCCCGACGGGAUCUCACGGAGGAGCGAAUCCGCUCGCGACGCAGAAAUGCGUCUGGGCGAGCGUCCGAACGGGCGCCGAUGGGCGAGGUGCGUCGGCGAGGUUCGCCCCGAACCCGCCGCGCCACCUCUCGUUCCCGUUCGGUGAGCCCCGGUUCUCGGACCGGAUGCACUCCAGUCGGCGGCCAGUGCGUUCGGGUGUUCUCCCGACCCGUCUUGAA